Molecule: ribosomal RNA, 443 nt
Filed under: uncultured bacterium
Lineage: Bacteria
Description: SSU rRNA
Rfam family: Bacterial small subunit ribosomal RNA
Source: RNAcentral
AGAGCGAACGCUGGCGGCAGGCCUAACACAUGCAAGUCGAGCGCCCCGCAAGGGGAGCGGCAGACGGGAGAGUAACACGUGGGAACGUACCCUUUGGUUCGGAACAACACAGGGAAACUUGUGCUAAUACCGGAUAAGCCCUUACGGGGAAAGAUUUAUUGCCAAAGGAUCGGCCCGCGUCUGAUUAGCUUGUUGGUGAGGUAACGGCUCACCAAGGCUACGAUCAGUAGCUGGUCUGAGAGGAUGAUCAGCCUCACUGGGACUGAGACACGGCCCAGACUCCUACGGGAGGCAGCAGUGGGGAAUAUUGGACAAUGGGCGCAAGCCUGAUCCAGCCAUGCCGCGUGGAUGAUGAAGGCCCUAGGGUUGUAAAGUCCUUUCGACGGGGAAGAUAAUGACGGUACCCGUAGAAGAAGCCCGGCUAACUUCGCGCCAGCAGCCGC